RNAcentral lists this ribosomal RNA (443 nucleotides) under uncultured bacterium. RNAcentral describes it as "partial 16S ribosomal RNA". It matches the Rfam family "Bacterial small subunit ribosomal RNA", at positions 338 to 795 of the family's 1533-position model. The record is from RNAcentral.
CCUACGGGUGGCUGCAGUGGGGAAUAUUGGGCAAUGGGCGCAAGCCUUACCCAGCAACGCCGCGUGAAGGAAGAAGGCUUUCGGGUUGUAAACUUCUGUUCUGAGGGACGAAGAAAGUGACGGUACCUCAGGAAUAAGCCACGGCUAACUACGUGCCAGCAGCCGCGGUAAUACGUAGGUGGCAAGCGUUAUCCGGAUUUAUUGGGUGUAAAGGGCGUGUAGGCGGGAAAGCAAGUCAGAUGUGAAAACUAAGGGCUCAACCCUGAGCCUGCAUUUGAAACUGUUUUUCUUGAGUGAUGGAGAGGCAAUUGGAAUUCCGUGUGUAGCGGUGAAAUGCGUAGAUAUACGGAGGAACACCAGUGGCGAAGGCGGCUUGCUGGACAGUAACUGACGCUGAGGCGCGAAAGCGUGGGGAGCAAACAGGAUUAGAUACCCUAGUAGUC